AUGUUUGUCUGGCUUGCGCAUAAAGAUCGUGUAUUUACCCACGAGAGACGGUUCAAACACUCUAUUGCAACCUCUGAUCAGUGCCCUCUCUGCGAUGGUCGAGAGAGCAUUGAUCACCUGCUGUUCCAGUGUCAGCUGCUCCAUCCACUCUGGGACGAGCUUAAGAGUCUACACUUCGGGAGUCACCAAUCUUUGCUGGAUAUUUGGAAUGCUGACAGGGCUAAUAAAGUUCGGUCCACCAUCAUUAUAGCUCUGCUCUGGAACAUUUGGAAACGGCGCAACGCAAAAGUAUUCCGCAAUGACACUCUGGGGGUGUACCACAUUGCUCGCUCGGCUGCGGAUGAUUUGAUGCUGUGGUCUCACAGAUGUAAAAAUGUUCAGAAGCAAAACCUGCUUCGAGACUGGAGCUCUAUGUUGUUUCAUUUAGCUGGGAGAAUAUAG
RNAcentral lists this ribosomal RNA (441 nucleotides) under Triticum aestivum (bread wheat). RNAcentral describes it as "partial small subunit ribosomal RNA". The record is from RNAcentral. Lineage: Eukaryota; Viridiplantae; Streptophyta; Magnoliopsida; Poales; Poaceae.